AGCAUGGUCUUAGCUUGCUAAGGCCGAUGGCGACCGGCGCACGGGUGAGUAACGCGUAUGCAACUUACCUAUCAGAGGGGGAUAGCCCGGCGAAAGUCGGAUUAAUACCCCAUAAAACAGGGGUUCCACAUGGAAAUAUUUGUUAAAGAAUUAUCGCUGAUAGAUGGGCAUGCGUUCCAUUAGAUAGUUGGUGAGGUAACGGCUCACCAAGUCCACGAUGGAUAGGGGUUCUGAGAGGAAGGUCCCCACAUUGGAACUGAGACACGGUCCAAACUCC
This 277-nucleotide ribosomal RNA is filed under the name uncultured Parabacteroides sp. RNAcentral describes it as "partial 16S ribosomal RNA". It matches the Rfam family "Bacterial small subunit ribosomal RNA", at positions 68 to 339 of the family's 1533-position model. The record is from RNAcentral. Lineage: Bacteria; Pseudomonadati; Bacteroidota; Bacteroidia; Bacteroidales; Tannerellaceae.